AAAAUACAAAACUGUCGCUGCUGUAUUUUCUGUUUGGUUCCUGGGAGAUCCAUGACGAUUUACGACCCUGCUUUCCCCUCUCUAAAAUCGGGAACAAUUUCAUUCUCUCCAUAAAGCAAAGAGAAUGGUAUGAAUCAAGCCCACCCAUGAUCCCAUCAACCCUUAAAACCCUCCUCCUCCUCUCCUUCGCCCUCAUCCUCUACCUCCUCCUCCACGUGCCGCCACCUUACCUCCCCCAGUCACUGCUCUCCACCCCCCACGAGGCAGCGCCGCUGCCCACAUCCUCCCACCAUCUCCUUUUCUCAAUCGCCUCCUCUGCCGGCUCCCUCGGCCGCCGUGCCCCCUACCUCCGCCUCUGGUCGAACUCCGCCCGCGCCAUCCUCUUCCUCGACUCGCCGCCACCCCCUGAUCCCUCCUUCGCCGCGCUCCCGCCGAUCGUCCUCUCCGGAGAUACCUCCCGCUUCCCCUACACCUUCCGCCGUGGCCUCCCUUCCGCCGUCCGCGUCGCGCGGAUUAUCAAGGAAGCCGUCGACCGCAACGAGUCCGACAUCCGGUGGUUCGUCUUCGGCGACGAUGACACGGUCUUCUUCGUCGAUAAUUUAGUGAGAACGCUGUCGAAGUACGAUCACGAUCAAUGGUUCUACAUUGGGAGUAGCUCGGAGAGUUACGAGCAGAAUGAAUCGAACUCGUUUGAUAUGGCGUUCGGUGGUGGUGGCUUUGCAUUGAGCCAUUCGCUUGCUAGGGCUUUGGCUGGGGUUUUUGAUUCUUGUCUUAUGAGGUACCCGCAUUUGUUCGGAAGUGAUGCUAGGAUUUUUUCAUGCUUGGCAGAGCUGGGUGUCGGGUUAACGCAUGAGCCAGGAUUUCAUCAGGUUGAUAUUCGCGGAAAUUUGUUUGGGAUGCUGUCUGCACAUCCAUUAUCACCUUUGGUGUCCCUUCACCAUUUGGAUAGUGUGGAUCCAAUCUUCCCUAACAGGAACAGGACUCAAGCUUUGGAACAUCUUUUCGAAGCUGUAAAUAUUGAUCCUGCCAGGAUUUUGCAGCAAACCAUCUGUUAUGACCGUUUGAGUUCAUUGACUAUUUCAGUUGCAUGGGGUUUUUCUAUUCAGGUGUUUGAAGGCAAUCUACUUCUUCCAGAUCUCCUUCCAUUGCAGAGAACUUUUACACCAUGGAGGAGAGGUAGGAAUAUUAGCUUGAGUCGCUAUAUGUUUAACACGAGAGAGUAUCCAAAAGAUCCAUGUAAAAGGCCUGUUGUUUUCUUUCUUCAAAGUGUUGGUUCUAACCAUGAUGGGGUCUGGAGUAACUACACCAGGCAUGCCGUUGGAAACUGUGGGCAAACUGGUGCUAUAAAGAACUUGGAGCAGAUUAGGGUGUUGUCACAGAAGCUAGAGCUCAAUAUUGAACAGAUGAAGGCUCCUCGUCGUCAGUGCUGCAGCAUUUUUCCUCAAUUCAAUAAAUCAAUGGUUCUUAGCAUUAGACAAUGUGGAGUAGAUGAACUAAUUUCCAUGCAUUUAUAGAGACUCCUUGGACAUUUCUGCUCAUGAGGAAAAGCAUUCUGUUGUACAAUACAAACUUUGAAGCACUUUGGUCUCCUUAUUUAAAUUUCAGGCUAAGGUGCAAGAUUGAAAUGUCUUAAGACCCUCCUAGUCAAUGACCAAGACCGAGACUGUGAACCAUGUUGUGACAUGUUCUAUCAAAUAGAAGACACUGUAGUUUUUUUUCUCUUUUCGUUAUUCUUCUUCUAACUUUGUUUGUGCUUGCAAGAAGACAUUAUUUAUGAGGAAAAAGGAAGUUGCUUUAAAGAUGUCGAAAAAGACAGGCUUCAAGGUUAUGGCUAAAGGAAACUAUCUGGGCAGUCUUCUGUCAGCAAAGGUUUUUGGUGAAGAAUUAGGAUUACUGUUUUGUCUAAUAAAAACUCAUACCAAUGGCCCCGUUACCGGAUGACUAUACCAAAA
Molecule: RNA transcript, 1952 nt
Organism: Vitis vinifera (wine grape)
Lineage: Eukaryota; Viridiplantae; Streptophyta; Magnoliopsida; Vitales; Vitaceae
Exons: 5
Source: RefSeq, a predicted model, not a curated record